Long non-coding RNA from Fukomys damarensis (Damara mole-rat), 3010 nucleotides. RefSeq lists it as uncharacterized. The transcript is spliced from 9 exons. The record is from RefSeq and is a predicted model, not a curated record. NCBI's taxonomy places the organism in Eukaryota, Metazoa, Chordata, Mammalia, Rodentia, Bathyergidae.
GAUCAGAGGUUUAAUCAUGAAACAGUCUCCUCUGAUGAGCAUGCGCAUUUUAGUUAUAAUACUUUGCAUUAUUUUAUGAUUGUGGAGGGUUUGGGAGGAUAAUCUCAAGUCUAUUUACUUCUUUCCAUUGGGCUAAUCCCUUCUCCGGAGCCCAGCUCAUUUUCAAGCUGCUGCUGCCUUGCGUUGCUGUUUUCCCCCACCCCUUCAGUGCGACAGCCUAGGAGCUGCUGAAAAGACCGAAAGUACGCAACUGGAUAAAUUCGUAGACAUGGAAUUCGUGGAUGAAAUGGUACUUGCAGAGUUAAAGCUGGCUGGAUCGGUUCCUGGAAUUUUCUAGAAUGAUAUAAGGAAAAUGUAAGAAAUGUGUGAGGAGCAGAAAUAAAAAUGUUUGCCAAGCUAUUGCUGACAAUUUUAAGGGAGACUUGCCUGGAAAAAGACUUGCGCCAGCAGUGUACAACUCACUUUUUAAUGCCCACACUGGUCACCUCCAGCCACAGACUUGCAUCCAAACUUGCCCUAAACCACACCGACACACCUCAAGGCAUAGCCAUAAGUGUUGCAGCAAGAGACUUUCUCCGCAGCACAAGGACACUUCCCACAUCACUAGAUUCUUCCAGAGAGGCUCACGGGUUCCCCUCAGCACAGAGACCCACCUAAGCGACAUUGAACUGUCACACGGGACAGAAGCUUGUCCUGCACAGACAAUCCCAACCUCACAGACUGUCUUCAUAUCAGUCAGACUCUUCCUUGGACGCACAGACAUACAAACUCAUGACCCGGAACAUGGAUUCUCUCACAGCCUGCAGAUACUCCCCAUAGCACCGAACACAGACUGUCACAGCACGGAGACUCUAGCACACGCGUCACAUCUCUCCACAAUGCAGACUGUCCCCUCAGAGUGCAGACUCACGACACAGCUCCAAGACCCAUUCCGAAGACUGCAAAGACUCGCCUGUGAGGGACACUCACCCCACGGCACAGCAUUCCAGCAGGACACUGACUCACCCGUGCUGCCCCACGCAGAUUUACCCCACAAAACGGGGCUGAACCCAUAGUCCAGACAGUCCCUGCAGCACUCAGACAAGCGUAGCCAACUGCACAGAGAUUCAGCUAUGCAACGUGCAGCACAUACUGUCCUUCAGUUCACCCAUGCCUUUGCCAACAAAUGCAAUGGGCAUGCAGUGGAAGGACGCACUGUAUAGGCAUUCUUGUCCUACUACAUCUGACCUCCCCUCGGUCUCACCCUCACCACACACCCUAUGGCCUGCUGUCACUAGAACACUCCCGGAUUCCUCAGACACACUGUCAUACAUGGGCAUAUGUCACACAUGACGCUGCAGCACAUACGUGGGCACCACAACGGACAGACUUGUUCCACAACACACAUGUGUGCUCCAGGAGCAGCUCACAAUGCACUUCUCCCUCAGUCUUCCCACAGCAUCUAUGCAGCCUCCGACACGGAAACACCCUGCAGCACGAUACUCCAGCCCCGUGGUGCUCACAGUGCCCGCACUUGCCACCCAGCGUCAUUUCCUCAGCUUACAGUGGCUACACAGUGUGGACAUGUGCUCCAAAGCACCUAAAACCAGUUGAAGAGUUUUGCUUCGGAUUUACCAGAAAGCACCUCAACUGGUUUCCCUGCUUGCGCUGCUGCCCAUAGUGCAAGCUGUGCGCAGGGCUGCACCAAAAUGCAGCUUCUCCCAUCAAUACACUGACUCUUCUCACAACGGCUUCACACUGAGACUCACCCUUUGUGCUCGGAACAUGGACUUAUGCCGCAACACUUGAACUUGCCUUCAGGGCACACCCACAGUACUUACACAUGCCUUAAAAUUCACAGGCAUGCCUGUAAACACAGAUUCAUUCCAUAAUGAACAGGAUCGCAUCACAACACGGACCUAACCUGGAGCACAAAUCCCACAGUGUACAUGGACGUUUCCCACCGUGUAGACUCGAAGCACACAUUGCCCUUCUUCGCACAGAUUUCCAUGAGUGGACAGUCAUGCUUUACCGUACUGUUGAGCUACAACUCUGGCAUGCGACAGAGAUACAGCUUUUGCAAUGGUUAAGAGCAAGGCCUCUGGACCCAGACCACCUGGGUUUGAAUCCAGAUCCCAUCCCUUGCUAAAUGUGUCACCAUGGAUUUGCUUCAAAAUUCAGUCUUGCACCAGAGAAGUACAGAAAUGCCUCACAACGCCUUCAGUGAACCUACAAUAAAAGGACUCAACUCCACCAUGCCUAGACUCACCUCCUAACAUGGAGAGAUGACUUGUAACCCACAGCACAUUGAUUUGUUCCUCAGAGUCUGAAAAGAGGACCCCCAUGCUCACGCAGACUUGGAGGAGCUAGAAGAUGGAGAAACAACACGGACCAGGAGAAAGAGGGCUUCGCCCCCGGUACACACUGCCAUCUAGUGACUACAUUCAAAUUUGCAAGGUUUGGCAAGAUGUGUCAGAAUUCCACUGGAAGUAUAUUAUCUCAAGAAUCAGUGAAAUAAAAGCUGCUCAUCCAGCAAUCCUGACACAUUCUGAUUCUAACGGGGGUGUGAUUGCCUUUUUGCAGAGGUGGAAUUGGCUACUGGCAGCAGAAUUCCUCUGGCUGAACCCCUGGCGCCCUUGCCUUUGGACUCUGCUCUCCUCUACAUCCAACAAUCUAGUUUAAGGAGCAGAAUAUACUUGGAUGAUUAACAAAUGGGAUAGCAGAAUGGAAAGUAUUAAAUUCUGUCCCAGAAGAAACCACUUUGUUUUUGUGUUUGUGAAAUGUUAUGAAACUCAUGCACUUAAAAUGUAAUAUAAAUAUUCAAGAAAAUAUGCUUCUAGUUUUAGAGAGAGUAAAGUCAAAGGCAGGAACAAGACUUAAUUUAGUUUCAUUUUAAUAACAGCAGUAAAUACUUGAUCUGAGAGUGGUAAAGAUCUCUUACUGUCCCUAUUCAACCUUUUCCUCUUCCCUCAAAGCAACCAGUUAAGGGUCAGUCUUCCAACAUAAUUGCUAGCAAUUUUAUUCAGACAAU